GGGCGCAAGGAAUGUUUUUUUUCUUUUCACCAGAAGCUCCUCCUCUAUUAUGUGGGGUUUAAUGCUGCUUACUUAAGACACAGAUAUUAUUUCACAUCGGGUAACGAUACUGAGUGGGCGGAGACUAAAAAUUCAAAGUUCACUUGGAUAAAAGGAGAACAGCCAGAAGUCUGCCUCAUUCUGACCAUCUCUGCAGGAACUGACCUUUGAUGUUAACUGCACCGAGAGGAAGCCAAUCCAGCACAGCAAGACCUUCUAGGACACAUCCCCACACAACAGGACAUGCCCGUAAUAUUACGAGGAAUGCAACAAGUAAGGACUACCACUUUAAUGUUAUUUUUCCAGGAAACAAUUACUUCUUGUUACUAAUUUACCCUGGUACCUUCUCACACAAUUUUAGAGCCUGCUUAUUCUUCUACUGUCCCAGGGAACUCUCCCUCCUUCUGUAGCCCAGUGCAGGUGCAGUCCCUCUGGGGAGAAAGCCAGACCUGUUCUUGAGCCCCCCCUGAGCAGCCACCCCGCCCCUUUACUGUAAAAGCUCUUUAUCUUUGCUUAUGAGAGCAGUUGGAUGCUGCUGCUGUAAAACUCCCACACUAAAUAUUUUCCUCUCACAUCAAUUGUCCACUCUUCAGUGCUGGUAUUUGUGUAAUUUGUGUAAAAAAAAGAAAUAAUGGAGUGUACAGAGUGCAGCUAAGGCCUCUGCCAUAAUUCUUCCGUUUUCUCUCUUUUAAUUCUCUCUGAAGGAAGCAGUCGUCAGAUGAGGGGACAAGGCACAGUUAAAGCCAAGUGAGUGCAUUUAUGACUUCCUCUGGGAGGAAGUGAGUAGCCUUCACCCCACCUGUGUCGCAAAAACACACACACCACAAACAUGGCAAACACACCCUCUGAUGCCAUGUGAACCCUUCGUUCAGAGUUUUUAACGUCCAAAUCAGUCGGAGUCCUUAACACGGAGACACACACACAAACAGAAAAAUAGUCCAUUGCACACGCACAACUAUCACAAAGUAUUGCCUGUGAAGUGAACAGUCUUGUGCGUCACAGCACGGUAACACAAUCAUUAUGGGUUUUUGUAAUCCAUAAUUAGAGACGCAACAACACACAAA
Oreochromis niloticus (Nile tilapia) is the source of this 1103-nucleotide long non-coding RNA. RefSeq lists it as uncharacterized. The record is from RefSeq and is a predicted model, not a curated record. Lineage: Eukaryota; Metazoa; Chordata; Actinopteri; Cichliformes; Cichlidae. The transcript has 3 exons.